RNAcentral lists this ribosomal RNA (1548 nucleotides) under Listeria monocytogenes. RNAcentral's name for it is "partial 23S ribosomal RNA". It matches the Rfam family "Bacterial large subunit ribosomal RNA", at positions 408 to 1954 of the family's 2925-position model. The record is from RNAcentral. Lineage: Bacteria; Bacillati; Bacillota; Bacilli; Caryophanales; Listeriaceae.
CUGAGUACGGCGGAACACGUGAAAUUCCGUCGGAAUCCGGGAGGACCAUCUCCCAAGGCUAAAUACUCCCUAGUGACCGAUAGUGAACCAGUACCGUGAGGGAAAGGUGAAAAGCACCCCGGAAGGGGAGUGAAACAGUUCCUGAAACCGUGUGCCUACAAGUAGUUAGAGCCCGUUAAUGGGUGAUAGCGUGCCUUUUGUAGAAUGAACCGGCGAGUUACGAUUUGUUGCAAGGUUAAGCGGAAAAAGCGGAGCCGUAGCGAAAGCGAGUCUGAAUAGGGCGCAUAAGUAACAGGUCGUAGACCCGAAACCAGGUGAUCUACCCAUGUCCAGGAUGAAGGUAAGGUAAUACUUACUGGAGGUCCGAACCCACGCACGUUGAAAAGUGCGGGGAUGAGGUGUGGGUAGCGGAGAAAUUCCAAUCGAACUUGGAGAUAGCUGGUUCUCUCCGAAAUAGCUUUAGGGCUAGCCUCGAGGUAAAGAGUCAUGGAGGUAGAGCACUGUUUGGACUAGGGGCCCUUCUCGGGUUACCGAAUUCAGAUAAACUCCGAAUGCCAUGUACUUAUACUCGGGAGUCAGACUGCGAGUGAUAAGAUCCGUAGUCGAAAGGGAAACAGCCCAGACCACCAGUUAAGGUCCCCAAAUAUAUGUUAAGUGGAAAAGGAUGUGGGGUUGCUUAGACAACCAGGAUGUUGGCUUAGAAGCAGCCACCAUUGAAAGAGUGCGUAAUAGCUCACUGGUCGAGUGACCCCGCGCCGAAAAUGUACCGGGGCUAAACAUAUUACCGAAACUGUGGAUGAACCUCUUUAGAGGUUCGUGGUAGGAGAGCGUUCUAAGGGCGGUGAAGUCAGACCGGAAGGACUGGUGGAGCGCUUAGAAGUGAGAAUGCCGGUAUGAGUAGCGAAAGAAGGGUGAGAAUCCCUUCCACCGAAUAUCUAAGGUUUCCUGAGGAAGGCUCGUCCGCUCAGGGUUAGUCGGGACCUAAGCCGAGGCCGAUAGGCGUAGGCGAUGGACAACAGGUAGAGAUUCCUGUACCAGUGCUAAUUGUUUAACCGAUGGGGUGACACAGAAGGAUAGGGAAUCGCACGAAUGGAAAUGUGCGUCCAAGCAGUGAGUGUGAGAAGUAGGCAAAUCCGCUUCUCGCGAAGCAUGAGCUGUGAUGGGGAAGGAAAUUAAGUACGGAAGUUCCUGAUUUCACGCUGUCAAGAAAAGCCUCUAGGAAGAGUAGUACUGCCCGUACCGCAAACCGACACAGGUAGAUGAGGAGAGAAUCCUAAGGUGAGCGAGAGAACUCUCGUUAAGGAACUCGGCAAAAUGACCCCGUAACUUCGGGAGAAGGGGUGCUCUAUUAGGGUGCAAGCCCGAGAGAGCCGCAGUGAAUAGGCCCAGGCGACUGUUUAGCAAAAACACAGGUCUCUGCAAAACCGUAAGGUGACGUAUAGGGGCUGACGCCUGCCCGGUGCUGGAAGGUUAAGAGGAGUGCUUAGCUUCGGCGAAGGUACGAAUUGAAGCCCCAGUAAACGGCGGCCGUAACUAUAACGGUCCUAA